UACGUAGGGGGCGAGCGUUGUCCGGAGUUACUGGGCGUAAAGCGCACGCAGGCGGUCUGCUAAGUUUGGAGUGACAGUUGGUGGCUUAACUGCCAAAGUGCUUCGAAAACUGACAGACUUGAGGGCUUCAGAGGGACACGGAAUCCGGGUGGAGUGGUGAAAUGCGUAGAGAUCCGGAGGAACACCAAAGGCGAAGGCAGUGUCCUGGGGAGUACCUGACGCUGAGGAGCGAAAGCGUGGGGAGCGAACAGG
Molecule: ribosomal RNA, 252 nt
Filed under: uncultured bacterium
Lineage: Bacteria
Description: partial 16S ribosomal RNA
Rfam family: Bacterial small subunit ribosomal RNA
Source: RNAcentral